This 253-nucleotide ribosomal RNA is filed under the name uncultured bacterium. RNAcentral's name for it is "partial 16S ribosomal RNA". It matches the Rfam family "Bacterial small subunit ribosomal RNA", at positions 524 to 776 of the family's 1533-position model. The record is from RNAcentral.
UACGGAGGGUGCAAGCGUUAUCCGGAAUCAUUGGGUUUAAAGGGUCCGUAGGCGGGCUGAUAAGUCAGAGGUGAAAUCCCAUCGCUUAACGAUGGAACUGCCUUUGAUACUGGUUGACUUGAGUCAUAUGGAAGUAGAUAGAAUGUGUAGUGUAGCGGUGAAAUGCAUAGAUAUUACACAGAACACCGAUUGCGAAGGCAGCUUACUAAACUGUUACUGACGCUGAUGCACGAAAGCGUGGGUAGCGAACAGG